This 443-nucleotide ribosomal RNA is filed under the name uncultured bacterium. RNAcentral's name for it is "bacterial SSU rRNA". It matches the Rfam family "Bacterial small subunit ribosomal RNA", at positions 8 to 451 of the family's 1533-position model. The record is from RNAcentral.
AGAGUUUGAUCCUGGCUCAGGAUGAACGCUAGCGGUGCGCCUAACACAUGCAAGUCGAGCGCCCUCACUUUGUCUCCGAUGUACUUCGGAGCCAGUGUGAGGGAGCGGCGAACGGGUGAGUAACACGUUGGAACCUACCCCAGACUCAGGGAUAGCCCGCCGAAAGGUGGAUUAAUACCGGAUAGUCUCGUAAGAGUAAAGCUUUUGCGGUCUGGGAGGGGCCUGCGGCCUAUCAGCUUGUUGGUAAGGUAACGGCUUACCAAGGCUAUGACGGGUAACUGGUGUGAGAGCAUGACCAGUCACAAUGGAACUGAGACACGGUCCAUACUCCUACGGGAGGCAGCAGUGAGGAAUCUUCCGCAAUGGGCGAAAGCCUGACGGAGCGACACCGCGUGGAGGACGAAGGCCUUUUGGUUGUAAACUCCUUUUCUGGGGGAAUAAAU